This 1032-nucleotide long non-coding RNA is filed under the name Homo sapiens (human). RNAcentral's name for it is "CAVIN2 and TMEFF2 antisense RNA 1". The record is from RNAcentral. Lineage: Eukaryota; Metazoa; Chordata; Mammalia; Primates; Hominidae.
AUGUGACACAACCAUGGUGAUGAAAAGAAAUCAGCUGUGGUUGGUGGUGAUAGCAAAGUGUAAGCUUUCAUUGAUACAGAGGCUUACUCAUUUCUGCCUUUGGUUAUUGUGCUGCUUCUGCUUGCUGUAGCCUUCCUGUUUCAAUGAUGAGAAGGCCAAAGGAAUCUGUGAGCUGACCCAGAGCCCGCAUGUUGUUGACAAGCCACAGAGUUGCCCAACCUCUUUUAUUGUUAUUUUGAUUCAGGGAAUUCCUGAAGAUUCUGAAAUUGUGAACUGACAAGCCCAUGGAUGUCUACAAAGAGUGAACUGAUCACUGUGGGCUGGCCUUUGAGGCAUCAGUGAGCUCCAGUGCCUGGGACAAUGCCUGACACUUAGCAGACAGUCAGUGAAUGUGUUAUAUAAAUGAAUGAAUACUUGGAGCGUGAGAAUCAGAGCGGCAAAAAUAUUUGUCCAUAAUAUGCCUAAAGAUAAAAACGGAAGCCUCAGAACUAGAUAAGUGCAUUGUAAUUGAAUGCUGAAUUCACAGAGAUAACAUCUGAGAUUUAUUAAGCAUCAAGUCAUGUCUUAAAAAUUUUAUAUACAUUUUAGGAUUUAACUCUUAUAAAAAUCCUGUGGGUAAGUACUGUUGUCUCUCCCACUUUACAGGUAGAGAGGCUGAGGUUCAGAGAGAUUAGGUAACUCAACUAAGGUCAAAAAGUUGGUCAGGGAGCUGGGCCUUUAUAUAAAACACCAAAAUGAGCCCUUGUGUAGAACCCUUGAGAGAGAUUUUAAUCUAAUGGCUGCAAUUUUAAAUUGUGUUCAGUUGUGGUAUGUAGUUUUUCAAGGAAGAUGACCCACAGCCUUUCUUGCUUUCUGGCUUUGGAAAAGGUAGAGAUGACCACUUAAACAUUCAAGGAAAAUAAUCCCUGACUUUGAAAUCAGAAGAUCAUUCAGAUAAUAUACUUACUUAUAAUCAUCCUCUCUAAUGUCUGACUAAAGCAAGAGUAAAAGAUUGACUGAACAGCAACAAAUACUUUAACAGUUAAAAAUAAA